This 73-nucleotide transfer RNA is filed under the name Fibrobacterota bacterium. Its description in RNAcentral is "tRNA-Thr". It matches the Rfam family "tRNA". Rfam says of the family: Transfer RNA (tRNA) molecules are approximately 80 nucleotides in length. The record is from RNAcentral. RNAcentral also lists the same sequence under 1 other name. Lineage: Bacteria; Pseudomonadati; Fibrobacterota.
GCCACUUUAGCUCAGUUGGUAGAGCGGCUCAUUCGUAAUGAGUAGGUCAUCGGUUCAAUUCCGGUAAGUGGCU